GGCGAAGUGGCGGAACUGGCAGACGCACCAGACUCAAAAUCUGGCGUUGUUCACUCAACGUGUGGGUUCGACCCCCACCUUCGCCA
RNAcentral lists this transfer RNA (86 nucleotides) under Beta vulgaris subsp. vulgaris (sugar beet). It matches the Rfam family "tRNA". Rfam says of the family: Transfer RNA (tRNA) molecules are approximately 80 nucleotides in length. Lineage: Eukaryota; Viridiplantae; Streptophyta; Magnoliopsida; Caryophyllales; Amaranthaceae. The record is from Rfam by way of RNAcentral.